UUGCCUGACCUCAGAGGGAGCCCCUCCCCAGUGCUCUGCCCUUUCUUCUGCCCCAGGUUCAGCAGGUCAAGUGAGUUCCUCCUCCCACAGCGGAAGGAGGUGUUGGGGGGCAUGGAGGAAAGAAAGCGGGUGCAAGAAGGAGCACGCUCAGGCUGGGGCAGCACCCAGGGCCGUAGGACUUGGGAAUGGAGGGUGUCUGUCUGGACCCGCUGGUGCAGAGGGCACAAAAGCUGGGCUGGGGCAGGACAGACGGGCCGGAGUGUAGUGAGUGGCCUGUGGGAGGGGCAGGGGGCUCCCAUGCAGAAGCUCUGGGCAGCAGCCCUGACCCAUCCGUGCCUGGACUGCAGCGCUGCCCGCUUCCCCCUGGCAAACAGGUGGCAGCCUCCUGACAGAGGAAGCCGGCCCAGGCCGCCGUGUCUGCAGUUGGGUGCUGUGCGCUGCCCAGAGGGCUCUUUGGGCUGGAGAGAGAAAACAAGAACAGACACCCAGUGGAGGUGGCUUUGCUGGAGGGACAGACAGUUGAUCAUAGUGGAGCUGGUGAGAGGAAGCUGCACCCAAAAGCCAUGGCCGGGAACCUGGAUCUGACUGCAGGGAAACAGAAGCGUGGUGGGCGCUGGGCGAUGAUGGAAUUUCUAACAAAUGCUUUGUUUCUGCUA
Molecule: small RNA, 656 nt
Filed under: Pan troglodytes (chimpanzee)
Lineage: Eukaryota; Metazoa; Chordata; Mammalia; Primates; Hominidae
Description: processed transcript
Source: RNAcentral